UACGGAGGGAGCUAGCGUUGUUCGGAAUUACUGGGCGUAAAGCGCACGUAGGCGGCUUUGUAAGUUAGAGGUGAAAGCCUGGGGCUCAACCCCAGAAUUGCCUUUAAGACUGCAUCGCUUGAAUCCAGGAGAGGUGAGUGGAAUUCCGAGUGUAGAGGUGAAAUUCGUAGAUAUUCGGAAGAACACCAGUGGCGAAGGCGGCUCACUGGACUGGUAUUGACGCUGAGGUGCGAAAGCGUGGGGAGCGAUCCGG
This 253-nucleotide ribosomal RNA is filed under the name uncultured bacterium. RNAcentral's name for it is "partial 16S ribosomal RNA". It matches the Rfam family "Bacterial small subunit ribosomal RNA", at positions 524 to 776 of the family's 1533-position model. The record is from RNAcentral.